This 506-nucleotide ribosomal RNA is filed under the name uncultured bacterium. RNAcentral describes it as "partial 16S ribosomal RNA". It matches the Rfam family "Bacterial small subunit ribosomal RNA", at positions 29 to 523 of the family's 1533-position model. The record is from RNAcentral.
AGUGAACGCUGGCGGUAGGCCUAACACAUGCAAGUCGAACGGCAGCACAGAGGAGCUUGCUCCUUGGGUGGCGAGUGGCGGACGGGCGAGGAAUACAUCGGAAUCUACUCUGUCGUGGGGGAUAACGUAGGGAAACUUACGCUAAUACCGCAUAUGACCUACGGGUGAAAGCAGGGGAUCUUCUGACCUUGCGCGAUUGAAUGAGCCGAUGUCGGAUUAGCUAGUUGGCGGGGUAAAGGCCCACCAAGGCGACGAUCCGUAGCUGGUCUGAGAGGAUGAUCAGCCACACUGGAACUGAGACACGGUCCAGACUCCUACGGGAGGCAGCAGUGGGGAAUAUUGGACAAUGGGCGCAAGCCUGAUCCAGCCAUACCGCGUGGGUGAAGAAGGCCUUCGGGUUGUAAAGCCCUUUUGUUGGGAAAGAAAUCCAUCUGGUUAAUACCCGGGUGGGAUGACGGUACCCAAAGAAUAAGCACCGGCUAACUUCGUGCCAGCAGCCGCCGUAA